UACGUAGGGGGCAAGCGUUGUCCGGAAUCAUUGGGCGUAAAGCGCGUGUAGGCGGCUCGAUAAGUCUGCUGUCAAAGUUCAGGGCUCAACCCUGAAAUGCCGGUGGAAACUGUCGAGCUAGAGUCCGGAAGAGGCGAGUGGAAUUCCUGGUGUAGCGGUGAAAUGCGCAGAUAUCAGGAGGAACACCAAUGGCGAAGGCGGAUCUCUGGGCCUUACCUGACGCUGAGGAGCGAAAGCAUGGGGAGCAAACAGG
This 253-nucleotide ribosomal RNA is filed under the name uncultured bacterium. RNAcentral's name for it is "partial 16S ribosomal RNA". It matches the Rfam family "Bacterial small subunit ribosomal RNA", at positions 524 to 776 of the family's 1533-position model. The record is from RNAcentral.